AGGAAAUUGUUUUUUUAAGGAUGUAACUCGGGACGUACACAAACACACACCACACUCACACCACAACACAUGUGUGCGCAUCCCUACCACACACUUAGGAUUUUAAGGUGCGUACGCGUGUGAGGGGAAAAUCCUCGGAUAAAACGCGCAAGUUAUGAUCCCAAGGAUCGAACUCACAUGGGCUGCCCAGACGCCCGCGCGGCUAGCCAUCCAAGCAAAGUUU
RNAcentral lists this long non-coding RNA (223 nucleotides) under Oryza brachyantha (malo sina). Its description in RNAcentral is "long non-coding RNA (OBRA_LNC000517)". The record is from RNAcentral. Lineage: Eukaryota; Viridiplantae; Streptophyta; Magnoliopsida; Poales; Poaceae.